GUGUCCUUGGUCCAACGCUAUUC
This 23-nucleotide microRNA is filed under the name Heliconius melpomene (postman butterfly). Its description in RNAcentral is "Hme-Novel-7_5p* (star (passenger))". Lineage: Eukaryota; Metazoa; Arthropoda; Insecta; Lepidoptera; Nymphalidae. The record is from RNAcentral.